GACGAACGCUGGCGGCGUGCUUAACACAUGCAAGUCGAACGGAAAGGCCCUGCUUUUGUGGGGUGCUCGAGUGGCGUACGGGUGAGUAACACGUGAGUAACCUGCCCUUGACUUUGGGAUAACUUCAGGAAACUGGGGCUAAUACCGGAUAGGAGCUCCUGCUGCAUGGUGGGGGUUGGAAAGUUUCGGCGGUUGGGGAUGGACUCGCGGCUUAUCAGCUUGUUGGUGGGGUAGUGGCUUACCAAGGCUUUGACGGGUAGCCGGCCUGAGAGGGUGACCGGCCACAUUGGGACUGAGAUACGGCCCAGACUCCUACGGGAGGCAGCAGUGGGGAAUAUUGCACAAUGGGCGGAAGCCUGAUGCAGCAACGCCGCGUGCGGGAUGACGGCCUUCGGGUUGUAAACCGCUUUCGCCUGUGACGAAGCGUGAGUGACGGUAAUGGGUAAAGAAGCACCGGCUAACUACGUGCCAGCAGCCGCGGUGAUACGUAGGGUGCGAGCGUUGUCCGGAUUUAUUGGGCGUAAAGGGCUCGUAGGUGGUUGAUCGCGUCGGAAGUGUAAUCUUGGGGCUUAACCCUGAGCGUGCUUUCGAUACGGGUUGACUUGAGGAAGGUAGGGGAGAAUGGAAUUCCUGGUGGAGCGGUGGAAUGCGCAGAUAUCAGGAGGAACACCAGUGGCGAAGGCGGUUCUCUGGGCCUUUCCUGACGCUGAGGAGCGAAAGCGUGGGGAGCGAACAGGCUUAGAUACCCUGGUAGUCCACGCUGUAAACGGUGGGUACUAGGUGUGGGGUCCAUUCCACGGGUUCCGUGCCGUAGCUAACGCUUUAAGUACCCCGCCUGGGGAGUACGGCCGCAAGGCUAAAACUCAAAGGAAUUGACGGGGCCCCGCACAAGCGGCGGAGCAUGCGGAUUAAUUCGAUGCAACGCGUAGAACCUUACCUGGGUUUGACAUGGAUCGGGAGCGCUCAGAGAUGGGUGUGCCUCUUUUGGGGUCGGUUCACAGGUGGUGCAUGGCUGUCGUCAGCUCGUGUCGUGAGAUGUUGGGUUAAGUCCCGCAACGAGCGCAACCCUUGUUCACUGUUGCCAGCACGUUAUGGUGGGGACUCAGUGGAGACCGCCGGGGUCAACUCGGAGGAAGGUGGGGAUGACGUCAAGUCAUCAUGCCCCUUAUGUCCAGGGCUUCACGCAUGCUACAAUGGCUGGUACAGAGAGUGGCGAGCCUGUGAGGGUGAGCGAAUCUCGGAAAGCCGGUCUCAGUUCGGAUUGGGGUCUGCAACUCGACCUCAUGAAGUCGGAGUCGCUAGUAAUCGCAGAUCAGCAACGCUGCGGUGAAUACGUUCCCGGGGCU
This 1346-nucleotide ribosomal RNA is filed under the name uncultured bacterium. RNAcentral describes it as "bacterial SSU rRNA". It matches the Rfam family "Bacterial small subunit ribosomal RNA", at positions 28 to 1381 of the family's 1533-position model. The record is from RNAcentral.